This 892-nucleotide ribosomal RNA is filed under the name Verrucomicrobia bacterium SCGC AAA240-O04. RNAcentral describes it as "SSU rRNA". It matches the Rfam family "Bacterial small subunit ribosomal RNA", at positions 30 to 888 of the family's 1533-position model. The record is from RNAcentral. Lineage: Bacteria; Pseudomonadati; Verrucomicrobiota.
CGACGACGCUGGCGGCGUGGAUAAGACAUGCAAGUCGUGCGACAGACCAGGAAUUGAUUACUUCGGUUUGAUUUUCCUGACGAUGAGCGGCGAACGGGUGCGUAACACGUGAGAAAUCUGCCCUUAAGUUCGGGAUAGCCCUACGAAAGUAGAAUUAAUACCGGAUGUGGCCCAGGGAGGGCAUCUUCCCCUGGCUAAAGCUCGGUCACAGAGCGCUUUUGGAUGAUCUCGCGGUCUAUCAGCUUGUUGGUGAGGUAACGGCUCACCAAGGCUCUGACGGAUAGCUGGUCUGAGAGGAUGAUCAGUCACACUGGAACUGAGACACGGUCCAGACACCUACGGGUGGCAGCAGUCGAGAAUCAUUCACAAUGGGCGCAAGCCUGAUGGUGCGACGCCGCGUGGGGGAUGAAGGGCUUCGGUUCGUAAACCCCUGUCAUCUGUGAGUAAGGCUCCCAAUAAAAGCUUGGGAGAUUGAUAUCAGCAGAAGAGGAAGGGACGGCUAACUCAGUGCCAGCAGCCGCGGUAAUACUGAGGUCCCAAGCGUUGUUCGGAUUUACUGGGCGUAAAGGGUGCGUAGGCGGCUAUAAAAGUUUGGUGUGAAAUCUCCGGGCUCAACCCGGAAACUGCAUUGAAAACUAGAUGGCUAGAGGAUCGGAGAGGAGAUUGGAAUUCUCAGUGUAGCAGUGAAAUGCGUAGAUAUUGAGAGGAACACCAGUUGCGAAGGCGGAUCUCUGGACGGUUUCUGACGCUGAGGCACGAAAGCUGGGGUAGCGAAGAGGAUUAGAUACCCUCGUAGUCCCAGCCGUAAACGGUGCGCACUUGCUGUGGGCGGAUUCGACCCCGUCUGUGGCGAAGCUAACGCGAUAAGUGCGCCGCCUGGGGAGUACGGUCG